AGUGAACGCUGGCGGUAGGCCUAACACAUGCAAGUCGAACGGCAGCACAGUAAGAGCUUGCUCUUACGGGUGGCGAGUGGCGGACGGGUGAGGAAUACAUCGGAAUCUACUUUUUCGUGGGGGAUAACGUAGGGAAACUUACGCUAAUACCGCAUACGACCUACGGGUGAAAGCAGGGGAUCUUCGGACCUUGCGCGAUUGAAUGAGCCGAUGUCGGAUUAGCUAGUUGGCGGGGUAAAGGCCCACCAAGGCGACGAUCCGUAGCUGGUCUGAGAGGAUGAGCAGCCACACUGGAACUGAGACACGGUACAGACUCCUACGGGAGGCAGCAGUGGGGAAGAUUGGACAAUGUGCGCAAGCCGGAUCCAGCCAUACCGCGUGGGUGAAGAAGGCCUUCGGGUUGUAAAGCCCUGUUGUUGGGAAAGAAAAGCAGCAGGUUAAUAACCCGCUGUUCUGACGGUACCCAAAGAAUAAGCACCGGCUAACUUCGUG
This 492-nucleotide ribosomal RNA is filed under the name uncultured bacterium. RNAcentral describes it as "partial 16S ribosomal RNA". It matches the Rfam family "Bacterial small subunit ribosomal RNA", at positions 29 to 507 of the family's 1533-position model. The record is from RNAcentral.